RNAcentral lists this ribosomal RNA (396 nucleotides) under uncultured bacterium. RNAcentral describes it as "bacterial SSU rRNA". It matches the Rfam family "Bacterial small subunit ribosomal RNA", at positions 28 to 428 of the family's 1533-position model. The record is from RNAcentral.
GACGAACGCUGGCGGCGUGCUUAACACAUGCAAGUCGAGCGGUAAGGCCCUUUCGGGGGUACACGAGCGGCGAACGGGUGAGUAACACGUGGGUGACCUGCCCUCAGCUCUGGGAUAAGCCUGGGAAACCGGGUCUAAUACUGGAUAUGACUCCAUGACGCAUGUUGNGGGGUGGAAAGCCUUGUGCGGCUGAGGAUGGGCCCGCGGCCUAUCAGCUUGUUGGUGGGGUGAUGGCCUACCAAGGCGACGACGGGUAGCCGGCCUGAGAGGGCGACCGGCCACACUGGGACUGAGACACGGCCCAGACUCCUACGGGAGGCAGCAGUGGGGAAUCUUGCGCAAUGGGCGAAAGCCUGACGCAGCGACGCCGCGUGAGGGAUGACGGCCUCGGUGUAA